This 217-nucleotide unclassified non-coding RNA is filed under the name uncultured fungus. RNAcentral's name for it is "sequence contains ITS1, 5.8S rRNA gene". Lineage: Eukaryota; Fungi. The record is from RNAcentral.
GUAUUGAUUGCGUGUGACCGCAAAAGAAACAUUCUACACUGUAUCGAGUUUUAUGUGAAAACGCAAGCCCUCCCGCAAAGGGGACCCACGCGGUGAUGCACAAAGGUGAGAUGGAUUGUGUGAGAGCGCUCGGGCGUGCACGACCUUUGAGGGCCAGCGACAGCCUUUGCACCUCGGUUGUACGAUAAUGAUCCUUCCGCAGGUUCACCUACGGAAA